CCUACGGGAGGCAGCAGUGGGGAAUAUUGCACAAUGGGGGAAACCCUGAUGCAGCGACGCCGCGUGAGUGAAGAAGUAUUUCGGUAUGUAAAGCUCUAUCAGCAGGAACGAGACAAGACGGUACCUGACCAAGAAGCCCCGGCUUACUACGUGCCAACAGGCGCGGUCAUACGUAGGGGGCAAGCGUAAUCCGGAAUCACUGGGUGUAACGGGAGCGUAGGCGGCUGUGCAGUGCUGAAGUGAAAGGCGGGGGCCCAACCCCUGGACUGCUUUGGGAACUGUACGCCUGGAGUGCAGGAGAGGUAAGUGGAAUUCCGGGUGUAGCGGUGAAAUGCGUAGAUAUUAGGAAGAACACCAGUGGCGAAGGCGGCUUACUGGACUGAAACUGACGUUGAGGCUCGAAAGCGUGGGGAGCGAACAGGAUUAGAUACCCGAGUAGUC
Molecule: ribosomal RNA, 441 nt
Filed under: uncultured bacterium
Lineage: Bacteria
Description: partial 16S ribosomal RNA
Rfam family: Bacterial small subunit ribosomal RNA
Source: RNAcentral